RNAcentral lists this ribosomal RNA (492 nucleotides) under uncultured bacterium. Its description in RNAcentral is "partial 16S ribosomal RNA". It matches the Rfam family "Bacterial small subunit ribosomal RNA", at positions 29 to 507 of the family's 1533-position model. The record is from RNAcentral.
AGUGAACGCUGGCGGUAGGCCUAACACAUGCAAGUCGAACGGCAGCACAGUAAGAGCUUGCUCUUACGGGUGGCGAGUGGCGGACGGGUGAGGAAUACAUCGGAAUCUACUUUUUCGUGGGGGAUCACGUAGGGAAACUUACGCUCAUACCGCAUCCGCCCUACGGGUGAAAGCAGGGGAUCUUCGGACCUUGCGCGAUUGAAUGAGCCGCUGUCGGAUUAGCUAGUUGGCGGGGUAAAGGCCCACCAAGGCGACGAUCCGUAGCUGGUCUGAGAGGAUGGUCAGCCACACUGGAACUGGGACACGGUCCAGACUCCUACGGGAGGCAGCAGUGGGGAAUAUUGGACAAUGGGCGCAAGCCUGAUCCAGCCAGACCGCGUGGGUGAAGAAGGCCUUCGGGUUGUAAAGCCCUUUUGUUGGGAAAGAAAAGCAGCAGGUUAAGACCCCGCUGUUCUGACGGUACCCAAAGAAUAAGCACCGGCUAACUUCGUG